RNAcentral lists this long non-coding RNA (206 nucleotides) under Carica papaya (papaya). RNAcentral describes it as "long non-coding RNA (CPAP_LNC009510)". The record is from RNAcentral. Lineage: Eukaryota; Viridiplantae; Streptophyta; Magnoliopsida; Brassicales; Caricaceae.
UAGGCAUUUUCAUUGAUUUUGGCUAUGAUUUGAAAUGGACCAUCCCCAUGAGCAUCCAACUUAGAUUUCCGUUUUAAUAGAAAUCAUUCCUUGCGCAAAUGAACCCACACCCAAUCUCCGGGUUCAAAUGAAAUCUUGCGCCUUCCUUUAUUGACAUGGGAUGCUACUUGUUCAUUUUUCUUUUCAAUGUUCUGCCUCGUUUUUUC